This 396-nucleotide ribosomal RNA is filed under the name uncultured bacterium. RNAcentral's name for it is "partial 16S ribosomal RNA". It matches the Rfam family "Bacterial small subunit ribosomal RNA", at positions 523 to 918 of the family's 1533-position model. The record is from RNAcentral.
AUACGUAGGGGGCAAGCGUUAUCCGGAUUUACUGGGUGUAAAGGGAGCGCAGACGGCUGUGCAAGUCUGAUGUGAAAGGCAGGGGCUCAACUCCUGGACUGCAUUGAAACCUGUAUAGCUGGAGGGCCGGCGGGGUAGGCGGAUUUCCUAGUGUAGCGGGGAAAUGCGUAGAUAUUAGGAGGAACACCAGUGGCGAAGGCGGCUUACUGGACGGUAACUGACGUUGAGGCUCGAAAGCGUGGGGAGCAAACAGGAUUAGAUACCCUGGUAGUCCACGCGGUAAACGAUGAAUACCAGGUGUCGGGGAGCACAGCUCUUCGGUGCCGGCGCAAACGCAAUAAGUAUUCCACCUGGGGAGUACGUUCGCAAGAAUGAAACUCAAAUGAAUUGGCGGGG